This is a non-coding RNA of Callorhinus ursinus (northern fur seal), 514 nucleotides long. The record is from RefSeq and is a predicted model, not a curated record. NCBI's taxonomy places the organism in Eukaryota, Metazoa, Chordata, Mammalia, Carnivora, Otariidae.
GGAGAAAACUCACUUUCCAGAGCCAACCAGGCUUCCGAAGCUGUCGUGCCAAGAAAAAGAAACCAUGCCACUCCCCUACAAGACAGAAAAGGAAGGACUGUGAGAACAACGCAGGAGGAGUGGCCAUGGCCACAAGAAGACAUGACACCAUGUGCAGACAAGGACAACAAGUGAGUGAAACAGUCUUCACAGAAAAGGGGAACCCAAGACGGCUAAAAUGAAGAAGACUGACCAUACCGAGUGUUGGCAAGGAUACGGAGGAAGAGAAUCCGCACGCACUGCUGGUGAGAACAGAAAAUGAUACAACCACUUUGGAAAAACAGUUCAACAUGCCCCCACCACGUGUCCCAGACAUUUAAUUCCGAGAGAAAAGGAAGUGCAAUGUCCAUACAAAGACUUGAACACAAAUGUUCAUAGCACCUUUACUUGUAAGAGCCUCAAACUGGACACAACCCAAAUGUCCACCCACAGAGGAAUGAGGGAAAAAAUGUGGCACAUCACUACAAUGGACUAC